RNAcentral lists this ribosomal RNA (465 nucleotides) under uncultured bacterium. Its description in RNAcentral is "partial 16S ribosomal RNA". It matches the Rfam family "Bacterial small subunit ribosomal RNA", at positions 28 to 507 of the family's 1533-position model. The record is from RNAcentral.
GAUGAACGCUGGCGGCGUGCUUAACACAUGCAAGUCGAACGAUGAAGCCCAGCUUGCUGGGUGGAUUAGUGGCGAACGGGUGAGUAACACGUGAGUAACCUGCCCUUAACUCUGGGAUAAGCCUGGGAAACUGGGUCUAAUACCGGAUAGGAGCGCCUACCGCAUGGUGGGUGUUGGAAAGAUUUAUCGGUUUUGGAUGGACUCGCGGCCUAUCAGCUUGUUGGUGAGGUAUGGCUCACCAAGGCGACGACGGGUAGCCGGCCUGAGAGGGUGACCGGCCACACUGGGACUGAGACACGGCCCAGACUCCUACGGGAGGCAGCAGUGGGGAAUAUUGCACAAUGGGCGAAAGCCUGAUGCAGCGACGCCGCGUGAGGGAUGACGGCCUUCGGGUUGUAAACCUCUUUCAGUAGGGAAGAAGCGAAAGUGACGGUACCUGCAGAAGAAGCACCGGCUAACUACGUG